UAACUAGCCCUAUCGGCUUUGGCUGAUAGCUGGCUUCUUAGAGGGACAAUUGGCGUUUAGCCAAUGGAAGUGAGGCAAUAACAGGUCUGUGAUGCCCUUAGAUGUUCUGGGCCGCACGCGCGCUACACUGACCGAGCCAGCGAGUUUUUUCCUUGGCCGGAAGGC
Molecule: ribosomal RNA, 165 nt
Filed under: Platygloeaceae sp.
Lineage: Eukaryota; Fungi; Basidiomycota; Pucciniomycetes; Platygloeales; Platygloeaceae
Description: partial small subunit ribosomal RNA
Rfam family: Eukaryotic small subunit ribosomal RNA
Source: RNAcentral